This is a long non-coding RNA of Megalopta genalis, 3178 nucleotides long. RefSeq lists it as uncharacterized. The record is from RefSeq and is a predicted model, not a curated record. NCBI's taxonomy places the organism in Eukaryota, Metazoa, Arthropoda, Insecta, Hymenoptera, Halictidae.
UCGAGCAUCGCGUUUUACGCGUAUCACCUGGGUCUGCGGACAAAAACUCCAGCGCGACGUCUGUUUUUGCGCACCAAGUCAAAGUCAGCUGUUCGACGAGUUCGUCACCGGCCCAGGCGAACCUUGUAUACAGUCGGCCGUCUUCUGUUUAUGUAUAUCGUCAAUACGUGUGUGUCGACUGGGCAUUUAACCUAUACAAAUGUAACGAAUAUUCAGCGCUGCUUAGUCCUUUCAAUUUUCAAAUUCCCCACUUCUCUACCUCUCUUAAUCGAUGGCCCACUAUCUAUAUAAAUAGGCUCGUUUAAUGCGAUCGCUGUGUGCGAGUAAUCUGCCAAUUGCAGAUUUUUCGAGCAGACUGCCAGAAAUGAAGAUAAAGCAACGAUCCUGUGAAUUCGCAGCUAGAUCAGAGUUACCGGCGAACCAUGUGUUGAUCUAUGCUGUGAGUCCACUUGGAAGAAGAGUACAAUUCACAGUUAAUCGGGACGUAUUAUUGGCGCAAAUCGGAAAAAAUCUGAGGAUACUUCGAAUAAUUCCUGGACCACGAAAUUUCCGAUGGCCGGAGGAAAUGCUGUUGCAAGGAAGAUACAUCAGAUUAAAGAUAUCCAACAGACAUCGAUUUCCGCACGUGUACCCCGACGACGAGGAGGAAGUAGUCGAUCGAUAGAGGAAUUGCUCGAGAUUUGAAUACGUAUUUUAAGUUUCCAGCGUUAACUACUUUUUUAAAACCAUUGACGCGACAAAGUAUAUAUUGUCUAGUUUGUUAUUAAAUCGUACGGAUGCCAUUAAUUACUCGUGCUUCGAGUGGUAAUUACAAUUUUGUAUAUUACUGACACGACGAUGUUCCUUGACUGCAAGUUCUGUAUCGAUCGACGUACUAUUUUUAGAAAUCGAUGUACUAUCGGCGUUUGUAAGAUAUGAAUUUCUUGUAUUAUAACAGUGCGAAUAUAUAAAAAUGUCAAAUGCUUAAAAUGUUUCGUACAUGUUAAACUCGUCAACGCUUAAACUCAUUUCAAAUCUGCGUUGUUUCGUCGCAGACUUUUUGAGCCGAGCGUCGAAAAUGGAGAGACACGGUCAGUCACGCAUGGAAUUUACAGUCGAUCGGAGAAUUGUGCGCCGAGUUCUUUCUCUAGAACGAGAUCGACAACGACGACAGUCGGCGAAUAGAGGAAUAUUGCGAGAUAGAGGGCAUUAGACUUCCAUUCUCGAUGGAGACGAUGUCGAUCGAUCGAUGAAUUUCUCGCGAUUUGAAGAUUCUUCAAAAUCUGCGCGUCUCAGAUUGUGAUAAAACGUAAACGCGAAUACCGGUGAAGGUCUCGAAUCUGAAAUCAAACUUCUACCAUCGGAGAUCUUGGAUGGCUUAUGGUCGGUAGAACUUGCGGGAGAAUGUUUUAGCGAACGUUCGAGCACACCAAGAUCGUCAUCGUGCGUAAUCGCGGUACAGAAAGAUGAUCGUUGAAAAUAGUUACGCAACCGAAUAACGGAAGCCUGCAUCGAGCUAAACGGUAGUACCGAAAAAGGAAAGGUUCGAUUCGCGUUCGCAAUCGAUCGGAAGACAGGGACAUCUAUUAAUUUAUAUCAUCGGGUUUUAAGUGACUGUCGUAAUGGGCCAAUAAAAUUUAUAAGCGGCAACAUAUCCGGCGCGUGGGCGAUUGUUUACGACGAUUGCCGACCACGAUCUCAAAUUUAAUAAUGAAGUCGGUGUCCGUCGUUCCUACGGGCAGAUCGACGUGUGUGCUAAUGAAGAAAUGUUUGCCAUAAUGUCUUCGGACGUAACGAUAAUUACGAGUCACCGUGCACGUUAGAAAAGUCGUACGCGCUUUAAUGGCGCCUCGUCACCGCGUUCGGCGGUUUACGAGGAAAGUAAAAAGGAUCAUUGUGCAAUUAUUAACUGUAAGAUAGAGAUCUACAGAUGUACCCUAAUUAGUAUCGUUCCUGUUCGUUUACACUUUACAACCGGAGAAUUCUUUCGUUUUAUGUAGAUCAUCGUGUUACGCAGCUGUACGACGUUCUUUAUACGUCGAGGACGAACUGUUCCGAUGAAUUUCGAAUUUAAGAUCAAUCGAUUAAGCGUGACACUGUUUAAUUCAUACUAUAGACGCGCACAGUUCGUUAGUUUGCUUCGCAUAAAUUCAACGGAAUAAAUAAUUGAAGAAUCGAAAUUCGAACGAGAUUAGAAGAACGCUACGCUCUGGUGUAAUUAGUAAGAAAAAAAAAAAGUUGGAACGAUCACAGAAGAAAUUACACGAUUAGAUUCUUUCACAUCUUCCUUUUGCGAAAAUUCUCAACAGAAUUUCUUCAUUGUCUUCUUCUUCUAACAGCAGCGAAAGUGCAAGUCAAUUUCGAUCCAUUAUCUAAAAAAUGAUGAAUCAUUUUACGAUCAAAUUAUACCUGUUUUGUAACUAUAUUAUGCGCAUGUUAAUACACGUAAUACCUGAUUACGACAGAUAAUUAAUUUUUCUAUUUGCUUAAACGUAAUAUUUUUUCGUUUUUCUCGUGACGUUGUACGUAAUACUGUUACUUUUCACAGGGAUUUUUAUUCAUUGCGUUCGAUCAUAUAUCUCUUCAAGAAUGUUGACAUACAGCAUCGAUCGAUCUCUUCUUUCUUUUUUAUCACAGUAAUUAAGCAAGUUAAAGCUUCAAUGGUGUCAAACGCGAAUAAAUCGUCUAGUACAAUAAACAAUUAAGAUAAUUUGAUGCAGAUUAGAAAUGUUUCUGAAGAUAAUCUAGUCGUGAAAAACGGGAAAACACACAAAAAACAAACUUCGUUGAUGAAUCCACGACGAAAGAAAAACAAAUAGAAACGGAGAUCGUAACGAAUACGACCAAUUAGUGAAUGGGACAAACUGCACAUUUAGGAAGAAAUUACAAAUAAAACAAGUGUAAACGUCGUAGCUGAAACGCAUCGUCACCGUGCAUUUUUCUAGUAAAACAAUUGGAUAGAUCGUUUGAUUUUUUUGUUAUCUUGUCCUAAACACAAAAGUGUCUAAUUCAUGUUAGUUCUGUCUUAUUCCCAACGAACACGUCAUACUAAUUUUUAUCGAAUUUCACGAAAUUGUGUACGACAUUAAAGCGAUUUCUCGAAGAAAAAGCUUUGCAUCACGAUACGCCUGCACCUUUAUCUUGCUCCUCUUUACCGAGAACUUCUCCCCGUGGCAUUCUAAUAAAACUGAAAUUAUUU